AGAGUUUGAUCCUGGCUCAGAUUGAACGCUGGCGGCAUGCCUUACACAUGCAAGUCGAACGGCAGCAUGAUCUAGCUUGCUAGAUUGAUGGCGAGUGGCGAACGGGUGAGUAAUACAUCGGAACGUGCCCUGUAGUGGGGGAUAACUAGUCGAAAGAUUAGCUAACACCGCAUACGACCUGAGGGUGAAAGUGGGGGACCGCAAGGCCUCAUGCUAUAGGAGCGGCCGAUGUCUGAUUAGCUAGUUGGUGGGGUAAAGGCCCACCAAGGCGACGAUCAGUAGCUGGUCUGAGAGGACGAUCAGCCACACUGGGACUGAGACACGGCCCAGACUCCUACGGGAGGCAGCAGUGGGGAAUUUUGGACAAUGGGCGAAAGCCUGAUCCAGCAAUGCCGCGUGUGUGAAGAAGGCCUUCGGGUUGUAAAGCACUUUUGUCCGGAAAGAAAUGGCUCUGGUUAAUACCUGGGGUCGAUGACGGUACCGGAAGAAUAAGGACCGGCUAACUACGUGCCAGCAGCCGCGGUAAUAC
This 529-nucleotide ribosomal RNA is filed under the name uncultured bacterium. RNAcentral's name for it is "bacterial SSU rRNA". It matches the Rfam family "Bacterial small subunit ribosomal RNA", at positions 8 to 526 of the family's 1533-position model. The record is from RNAcentral.